Leopardus geoffroyi (Geoffroy's cat) is the source of this 2921-nucleotide long non-coding RNA. RefSeq lists it as uncharacterized. The record is from RefSeq and is a predicted model, not a curated record. The transcript has 2 exons. NCBI's taxonomy places the organism in Eukaryota, Metazoa, Chordata, Mammalia, Carnivora, Felidae.
UCUCCACCCCGGUGCUGGUCAGCUUGGGCUGCCGUUGGCUGGGUAGCUUAAACAACAGGAAUUUACUUUUCACAGUCUGGAGACCGGGAAGUCCAAGAUCAAGGUGCCAGCAAGGCAGGCUUCAUUUUGAAGACUCUGCUCUUGGCAUGUAGGCAGCUGCCAUCCCCCUGCAUGUUCACACGAGCCCCUUGUGCAUGCCUACAAGGGAGAGAGAGAGAGCACGAGAGCAGGCUCUCUCUCUUGAACACGAGAGCAGGCUCAUAAGGGUGCCGAUUCCGUCAUGAGAGCCCCGCCUGCCUGACUUCACCUAACCCUGAUUACCUCCCAGAGGCCCCAUUUCCAAAUACCAUCACAUUGCGGGUUAGGGCUUCAACUUGUGAAUUUGGGAGGGGGUUGACACAAACAUUCAGUCCAUAAUACCUGCUGAAGUUGAUCUAAGGUUUAGAGAUGGGUCUGCAAAAUAGGUUUCCACAAUAAAUGUUUGUUUAUUUAUUUUGAGAGAGAAUCCGAAGCAGCCUCUCCGUGCUGUCGGCACAGAGCCCAAUGAGAGGCUCAGUAUCAUGAGCCGUGACAUCAUGACCUGAGCUGAAGAGUCAGAUGCUUAACCAACUGAGCCACCCAGGUGCCCCGGGUUUCUGCUAUAUAUGGGAAGUUUAAAUACUCCCAUUAGCUAAGAAUCAGUUAUUAGGUCAUUUUACAGUUCUUUUAAACAACGGUAUCUGUGUAUGUGAAAAAAUACAUGUACGUAUAAUAAAACAUUUGGAGCAUAAAAUCAUGUAUUUUUCCAUCUAUAAAACAUCUUUGUACAUUCAUUGGUAAACUUCAGAUUUGAGUAUUGUUUGUCCCUGGUGAUAUAUUUGAUAAUUUAGUUUGUAUUCGUUUGACCAUAGUAUAUUUUAUCCAAGAAACUUAGAAGUUUACAUCUGAUUGUUUAGUCUGCUUGGAUUGUAUGUAUAGAAAGAUCGAGAUCAAGAUUGGGCCUGAGUAGGCACACAGGAAUCACACUGACAGGUGACCUAAUUUAGCACCCUGCAGCCCCAGGGCGCUGAGGCUUCUACCUUCUCAUGCCGCACAGAGACCCUCGCUCGGGUGCCGUGCGUGAGCGUGCCCUUCUUAGGCCUUGUACCUCUCUGGGCUACUGCCUUCCUGUCCUGUACCUGCUUCUCCCCUCAGUGACACCGAAGUAUGUUAACGGUGCUGGGAUAGCAUACACUUACUUAAACUUGGUUUCCCUUCAGAACAUUUCUUUGGAGCCGGUUUGAGAAACGGAGACAGAAACAGUUGUGCAGACUUCACGUAAUAGGGGUGUGAAUGAGUAUUAAGUAAGAAAAAUCAAUGUGAAGCCACUUAGCAUGAUUCCUAGCAAACGCCAGUGCCAGGUCCACUGUAUUCCAAGAGUGUUUCGAUGGCGGGGAGAGGCCAAGUGGUGGAUAGGUGAGUAAGAGUGAAAAUUUGGAACAGGUGGGCCUUCCAGAAUUUCUUAAAAAACCGUUCUGUGUAGCUGCUGCUUCUUUAGUCAUUUUCAACAAAUGAUCUUUAUGAUGUGUUUUAGCAAACUCUAAGGAUACUCACAUGUAAGGUCGUUAUCUGUUUAAGUGGUAAUUAUUUAGUAAUAAAUGUAGGUAUGAUGGGGAAAAUGUUCAUUUGGAUGCGUUUGAAUUGAAAAACAAAUGGCCAAGGACAUGAUGCACCUUCCAUCACUAGGUCUGAAUGCUAAGGUGUUAUUUCCAACAAGGGAACUGAGAGCAGGUCCUUCGACUAACCAUGCAUCAGGUUCAAUGAAGGUUGAGUUGGAUUUGGGUCUUACCUGGCAUUGAGGAAGCAGUGGGGCAGGGUUUUAUCAUUGAUUUCCACCUUGCAUCAUCUAGAUUGAAUUUCUUUGAUCAGUGAGUUGUAUUUUGUUUCCUCGUUUUAUGUUGAGUUAACGGUGCCAUUCACAGUGACAUUUCAAAGUUUGAGGUUGGUUAAUACUUUAAAUAGUUUAUCUGAUUUGACCUUAGUUUAUAGCGGAACUGACAGUGUAGUAUGUUGUGUACAUCGAAUCAGUUGUUUAUCCUACCUAGUCUAGAAAACAUUUGGUUUUCAGAUUUGUAUACUUAACCUUUUUUAUUGGUGGGUAAGUGAAUAUCCCAGUGCCUGGACCCGGCUUAGUGUGACUAGAGAAAUACUGGCCAGAAUAGUGUCACUUUCUCUAGUCAUCCUCAAAGAGCUGAAGUCUUUGAACUAUUUUUUAAAAACUCUAUAGAGAUGAGAUCAGUAUGAUAAGGAGGUAUGUCCCUAGGAUGGACGUAAUAAAAGCUUCCCUGAGUUAGGGAGUUUAGUGCUAUGGUGGUUAAAUAACCUGGAUUUGAUCACGACUUUUGUUUUUUGGGGAGGGUUUUUUUUGUGAAAGUUAAGAGAAGCUGUAAAGUAGUAGUUAAAAAGCAAGCUAACUUCUCAUAUCACUUCUUCUUCGUUUCAGAUCAGGGGCAGGGUAUGUGCAUACAAAAUAGGCAAGGCCAGUCCCUCUUAUAAUGGAUACAAUAAAACAAAACAUCUUUGCUUUUGGUUAAAACAGAAGGUUGACAAACUGCUGAGGAGAGUUAAGAAAUUCACAGGCUAAUACACUAUGUGGGGCACAUGUUCUUUUCAUACUGCUCCCAAGGAUGUUCUCUACCCUUUGGAGCCGGAGACUGAUUAUUUUCCUUGAUAUUUUAAACCCAAAGGAUUCAGUCUUUAGAUUGGGUAUUUAAACUCUGUGAAAUCACAAACUGUAUGUCGUUUCACAGUUUCCUUUCUACAUAAUGAAAAUGAAAUUCACUCGGUUUCAUUUUUAUGGGGAUAGGCAGGAUAGCAGUGGCUUUGAGCAUAUCACUAGGGAUGAGUUAAAAAUAGAUUUUUCUUGAGGCAGUGACAUUAUAUGGUAGACAGUUGACAGGAGA